Molecule: long non-coding RNA, 1172 nt
Filed under: Cyanistes caeruleus (blue tit)
Lineage: Eukaryota; Metazoa; Chordata; Aves; Passeriformes; Paridae
Description: lncRNA (ENSCCEG00000009498.1)
Source: RNAcentral
GUGGGGACAUCAGGGAUCAGACCAGACGACCUUUUGGUGAGCAGUCACUUAGACAGCAGGUCCAGUGACCUCAGGACCUUUAAAGAGUCAAGGGGAUUGGGGAGAUAGUUGUGAAUUGUUUUGCUGUAGACCGAUCACAUAGGGGGUGAAGGAGGGAUACGUCAGGAGAAUCUUACUGAAACUGUUACUUCAGCUUUCCCAAGUGAACUUUCACCAGUUUGCAGCUUUAAUCUGAGGCAAAACCAGGAAAAAUCUGAUUGCCUGGAAGACUGCUAGUUUUUAUCUCCCCUAGCUAUGCAUUUCAAACCAUUUCUGUAGGACCAGCCUUGGAAGAAAACGAAUGGUCUGAUUAUACAGCAUUGCAGUGUCUCAGGUAACAAACGCAUGACAGCUAUUUAACCAAUACCUGGGAAGCCAACCAGCAAGGGUGGCAUUAAUGAUUUUGCAGAAAGUUAACUAAGUACAUCUAUCACUUUGUCAUGUAGGGUAAAAGAAAGCAUCAGUCAAAGAAGGAAGAGGGGAGCAGUCUAUGCUUCCUUUUUUAGGUUCUGCUGAAAUCUGCUCUAAGAAUCAAUACAGCUGGAGCUGUGAACAGUACUCAGGCUGAUUAAAUGUAACAGGGAUAGAAAGGGGAGGAGCAAGGCCAGAAGCUGAUCUGGAGCUAAACAGAAGCAUACUGUGGGUCAGGAAAACACCAGGGGUUUACUAAAGGGCUCUCCAAUGGCGAUGCCCUAAAAUUAGUCUCCAGGGGCUUAGCCAUUCCAGUUAUCUUCAAACAAGGGCUUCACCUUAACCAGCUUUGAAAAUGCUCCUGUUCACACACAGAUUCACAGCUGGAGUGAAUACAGGCACCUUCAACUAUAAUCUCAGUUUACAAGAGCUGGGGUUUCAGCCAGCUGAUUUUCACAGCUCCUAACUGCAUCAAGCAAGGCUGUACAAUUCCUCUCUUCUCCUUCCUCCCUUGAAGAAGAGGCAUUGUAUACACCUUUCCAUCCCUUUUCCUCUCGGAAAAUCAGUUCCAGAGGGUCACAGGGGAGUUCACACAUCGCAGAAGGGAACUUGUUGUGCAAUGGCCACUACCAUUAAUACCUUUGAUAUGGAAAUAAAAGGUAAGAGAAAAAUUUCUAAUAGCUUCAUGGUGUCCCUGCAUCUGUGAGUUUUGCAUUAGUUAC